CACUACGAAAGAAAAAAGGCGUCGAUUGUGUAGUAAAAUGUUUUGCUCGUGAGUUAUUGAUCCGGAAAAGUUGAAUCUGUGAAUAUCUUGCCAACUUUGCUGGACUAACUUCAAAGCGUAGACUGAAACUGAAACUACGAUCAACUUUGUACAUCGUUUAUCUCACCGCACAAGUCCUCUGAUAAAGGCUACGUUAGUUGUCACAAGGUGUCAGUGCAAACUUGAGUUUAAUUACACAAACUUGUAUGCUUUCUCAGGUUUUAAACAUGCCGUGUUUAAAGAGGAAAGACACAUCCCCCCUAUGUGUUUGUUUUAACAUAUUGCACAUGUAACGAAAAUGAGAAUCGGAUCAUAGAGUUAGAGUUCAUAUAAACAGAUUGUAUUCCCAUUUAGACAGUAGCUAUUUACUCCAAAUAAGCUCGCGUUCUUUAGCUAAACGGCCCUAAACCGUUUCCCAUUCAUUCUCAAUGGUAGUGCUGCUAAACCACUACGGAUGCAAUAUACUUUCGGCCGCUAGCGCUCUCGUGGCGCUCUUCCGCGUUUCGGCCCCGAAGGGAAGUUUGAAUUCGCAGAAGAAGAAAACAGCCUCGGUUGUUUAAUUCAACGCAUUCUCAGCGCAUCUGUCAAAGAGACCACUGUUUCUACACUGCUGUCAUCUUCUCCUGGUACCAUGCAGAUCCUCAGUCAGAUGCAGGAAGUACAUAUACGCCACCUCUGCCUCUGCUGGCCUCACCUGAGACCCCCUGGACCUGUGAAGACUGGUGGCAGGGUGUUGAGCACAAACAUAGCCCAUUGACAACUUGCUUAAUAAACACCGUGGGAAGAAGCACAUCCUCAGGAGCAUGCAGCAGUGCUCCACAAUUCCUCUACUGAUCCAGACAGCAUGCUCCAUUCGACCACAAAACUGCACAUUUCACAGUAUGUCAAGCACCUGGUCAAACUACUGAACAUCAGUUCUUUAUUAAACAACUCCAGAGAAACGUCUUGAAAGCGGGUAGUGAAUCAACCAGUGUGCCAGUGGUAACAAUGAAGCCUGCGGAUGCAAACCCACCAGCACCUGCUCUGACCACACUCCUAACUCAUGAGACCAUUGAGACAAUUGUGUUAUGGAGCGGCAGCAGCAACCUGAGGAGAAGACUUGUCUUGCUUGUGGACAGCCAAAGAUGGUUCCUCUAUCCACUUUUUUCUUAAUCAGCAAGGCCCUGUCAGGUACUUCUACUGUUCCACAAAGGUUUUUAAUGCUUACAGUGAUUAAGAACUAACACACCCCAGAGUUAUUUAAGAGAGAACUUGAGGACACAAAGAAACGGGUGCAGGAGAAAGGACAGCAAAAACACAAAAGGCCUGAAACUGAACACGUUAGUCGCUUGUGCAGAUUUUGUAAAAUGGAGCUGAAGCAGGGUCCAAACAGUCCUCACAUACACACAGGCUUUCCUGGCGUAGCAGGGAAAUAUGUUAAUUGCCCUGCUGAAGUCUUUUCCAUUUACCAACCUCAGGACAUGCAGAAAGAUGACCUGGAAAGAGUUUAAAGUGUCUGCAUUUUACGAGAUGGAAAGACAGAGAUGUGUGGCAGAAAAAAAAAUAAAUAAAUGACAUUUCUUGAUCUUUUGCCCCAUAACUCAUGUAUAUACUGUAUAUUUUGAUUUGUUUAUUGUUCAGUGUGAGACUGUAAUAUGUAUAUUUUGUCAGAAUUCUAUUUUUCUUUAUACUUUAUUAUUUUGGAUCAGUAUUUACUAAUCUUAAAAAGUGCUUAAAGCAUUUAA
Long non-coding RNA from Onychostoma macrolepis, 1763 nucleotides. RefSeq lists it as uncharacterized. Lineage: Eukaryota; Metazoa; Chordata; Actinopteri; Cypriniformes; Cyprinidae. The record is from RefSeq and is a predicted model, not a curated record. The transcript has 3 exons.